GAAGAGGAGAGAGUACGGAGGGAAAACCAGAGGAAGAGUGGGGAGAGAGGAAGAUAUAAGGGAAGGGGGGGGGCAGUGUGCACUGUGCAGUUAACUACAGAGAGAGAGAGAGGGAGAGAGAGAGAGAGAGAGAGAGAGAGAGAGAGAGAGGGAGAGAGAGAGAGAGAGAGAGAGAGAGAGAGAGCGAGCAGCCCGCCGGCCCAUUGAGGAAAGAUGGCUACAGUCACUGCAAACGGAGUGCAGCAAGAGAAUGGAUUCAGCACCACGAACAGCGCCGGCAGGAUGAACGGGCUUACCAUCGGCCAGAACACCAUUCCAAUGAAGGACCACGACGCCAUCAAGCUUUUCAUCGGGCAGAUUCCCAGAAAUCUGGAGGAAAAAGACCUGAAACCCCUGUUUGAGGAAUUCGGAAAGAUAUACGAACUCACUGUACUGAAAGACAGGUUUACGGGAAUGCAUAAAGGAUGUGCCUUUCUAACAUACUGUGCCAGAGAGUCAGCACUGAAGGCCCAGAGCGCCCUCCAUGAACAGAAGACUCUGCCAGGGAUGAACCGGCCCAUCCAGGUGAAGCCAGCCGACAGCGAAGGACGAGGAGAAGACAGGAAGCUGUUUGUGGGAAUGCUCGGCAAGCAGCAGAGCGAGGAUGACGUCCGGCGGCUGUUUGAGACCUUCGGCCAGAUCGAGGAGUGCACCGUCCUGCGAGGGCCUGAUGGGGCCAGUAAGGGCUGUGCCUUUGUGAAGUUCUCCAGCCACGCAGAAGCACAGGCCGCCAUCAACAGCUUGCAUGGUGGACAGACUAUGCCUGGUGCCUCGUCCAGUCUGGUGGUCAAGUUUGCAGACACCGAUAAGGAGAGGACCCUGCGUAGGAUGCACCAGAUGGCGGGCCAGCUCGGCAUCUUCAGUCCCAUGACCAUCCAGUUUGGGGCCUAUGGCGCCUACUCUCAUGCUGUAAGUCUCAGCCCGGCGGGGGAGGAGACGCAGAUGAUGCAACAGCAAGCAGCCCUGAUGGCAGCGACACAAGGGUCCUACCUGAACCCCAUGGCAGCCAUCGCUGCCGCGCAAAUGCAGCAAAUGGCAGCUUUCAAUGUCAACGGCCUGGUGGCUACUCCCAUGACACCGUCCUCAGGCACCAGCACACCCCCAGGCAUCUCUGCCACAGCCGUGCCCAGCAUAGCCACCCCAAUCGGGGUCAACGGAUUCAGUGCCCUCCCGCCUCAAAGCAACGGGCAGCCCACCUCUGAGCCCAUCUACACCAAUGGUAUUCAUCCUUACCCAGCACAGAGUCCAACGGUGACCGACCCUCUCCAACAGGCUUAUGCCGGUGUCCAGCACUACGCAGCAGCCUACCCUGCCGCCUAUGCGCCAAUCAGCCAAGCGUUCCCCCAGCAACCAACCAUCAUUCCCCAGCAACAGAGGGAAGGGCCAGAAGGUUGCAACCUGUUUAUUUAUCACCUGCCCCAGGAGUUCGGAGAUGCGGAGCUCAUGCAAAUGUUCCUGCCUUUUGGCAACGUCAUCUCCGCCAAAGUCUUUGUGGACCGAGCGACCAAUCAGAGCAAAUGUUUCGGCUUUGUGAGUUUUGAUAACCCGUCCAGCGCUCAAGCCGCUAUCCAGGCCAUGAACGGGUUUCAGAUAGGCAUGAAGAGGCUGAAGGUGCAGCUAAAGCGGCCAAAGGAUGCCAACCGACCUUACUGACUCGUCUGCUGUCCAUACCCAGUUUGAGGUGGCCUUUCUCCGCUAUAGCCACACCCCCCCUACACCUGUCAUGGGGCCAAGUUCCCACAGCUGAUGAAGGGCCACAACACCUUAUUUCCACAAGUGCAGUAAAAGUACAAAGACUUCUUGCUCUGCUACAUAUCAUGAAGGAAGGGUGGUCCCUUGAUCCUGCUGGAAAACCCGCUGAAAGAUUGGGUGACUGAGAGAAGGAUCCCAGAGUUGUUGUUUUUUUUCUUUUCUGUUUUUUAAUUUUUAUUUAAUUUUUUUCUUUCUUCGCAAAUGCCUCUUUUUUCCCUGUUUUGCUUUGGCGUCUGUGGAAGAAGAUUUUUUGCAGAGACCAACUUUUUGCUGCUGUUUUUUAGACAUGAUGGGAAAAAAAACCUUUAUAGACUCAUUAUGCUCAAAGCAUGCAUACUGACACAGGAUAUAGAUAAACACACAUAAACACACACAUAACAAACAAAUCAUACACAUUUAAAGAUGCUACACCUAAAAAAACAAAACAAAUGAAAAAUGAAAAAAAAAAUCUACUUUGUACAUGUAUAAAUACGUGCAAAUGCCAACUCAAGUACUGAAGCAAACACACGCGUGUGCACGCACACACACAUACACACAAACACACACACCAGCCUGCUGCCAUUUUGGUUUUUGUGCCUACACAGGUGUUGUGCUCUGUGACAGGGCAAGCUCUGGAUCGAAGAGGAAAACGAAAAGAAGAAGAAGAAGAAGAAGAAGAAGAAGAGGAGACAAGAGGAGAAUCCAGGAUAAUUUACAUGCAUCAUUCCUUAGGAAAUAGGGACCAAAGGACUAAACGCUUUUUAAAAGAAUAUAAAUAUAUAAAUAUAUAAAUAUAUAUUUAAAAACUCAUACCUUGUAGCUGCAAGUAUUACAAUUUACUCGUAGUAAAAAAAAAUCAUUAAAUCAAUAUCCAGUGGCCUACUGUAAGUACGAAUAAAAGAAAAUGGAAAUAAUGUAUAAAAAAAAGACAUGGAAUCGUAGUAUAGGGGCUGAUCUUUUGCUCUGGAUGCUGAUUUAGCACCAGGUUGUAGAAUAGUAAAGUAGAAUAGAAAAAAAAAUGUAGAUUUGCUAACUUUUGCUGUUGUUUAAAAAAAAUACUUGAAGUCGUAAUGAAAAGGGGGUAAAAAGAGGGGGGAAAAAAGGAAACAUUCAUCUGCCCCUGUGAGCAACGCGUCUCUUUCUCCUGGAUGUUAAAGGUAUCAGCCACUGGAUAUCUCGCUCAUCAUAAUGUACAAGUCACUGCACUCUCUGACAGCUAUGAACAGACUGUUCUGGAUGGGAAAAAAAGAAUGACAAGAGAGAAAAAAAAAAAAGACUGAACUUACUAAUGUCUGUGCUGGACAGGGUGCAGACGUUUAAGGCUUCUCACUGGCCUUUGUGUUCAAGCGACAAUCCACUGUAAAGACCAAGCAAAAUGGACAUGGGGUGUGUCUUCUGUUUUUUCCCUGUUUUUUUUUUUUUCUUGACCUUUUGUAUUGCAACAUGGGGUGUGAAUUAUGAAGCCACAAAUUGUUAAAAGAAGAUGGUUCUAUAAAGAGAGAUGGACACAAGCAUGAUCAUGAGGGGAGCAAAAGAGGAUGAGGAGUGAGGCGACAGCUACUGAAACUGCCAGCAGAAUGAACUCAGUGUAUAAAGGAAUUGGCCCUUAUGGCAUUGGAAAUCCUUCAACAAAAAAAAAAAAAAAAAAAAAAAAAAAAAAAAAAAGUAUGACCGCUGUAAACAACCAGGACUUAUAUAAGCAACAUGCCAAGGAUAUGUGUAUCCACUGGAGAUGCUACAGAACUCCAGAUUGAGAAAAAUGGCACCUUGUCUCUUGGCAGAUACAAACAAACAUUUAUCUGAAGACAAACUCAAUUUACUGUAUUGAUGGCAAAGGAGUGCAGGCUUUUAGUGCUCAUUUAGCUCUGUCAAAUGUAAUGUAAAUUCCACUGGUAACAUGUUCCCUGACCUGCUUUCCUCAUAUAUUAUACAUAGAGCCUAUGGGAAAAAACAAAACGCACACACACACACACACAUGCACACACACACGCACACACACACACACACACACACACGCACACACACGCACACACACACACACACACACACACACACACACACACACACACACACACACACACACACACACAGCUUAAACAAACUAUAUCUAAAUUAGAUCUAACAGUCACUUUUAACCAUCAUUCAGCUCGCCUGUAGCCUCUCUGACACUGACGCCAGGCAGGACAGAGUAAAGCACUCCAGUACUGUCAUGUCUUGAUUUAGAGUCCUGUAGCCUUUAUUUUGACUGUUUUAGAGCUCUGGAUGCAGGCUCUUUUCUAAAAGCAGAUCAAUAUGUUUGGAAUGAGUCUAGAGGGAGGAGCAAUGCCGUUUCAGUUUACUCCCCAGUUUUCUCUGUCGAAACACCAGCUCACAUCCCUACACCAGCCCUUUGAGUACUGACAGUUGGCGGUAAGAGGCCGGGCUGGGCAAGAGGGAGAGACGGAGUGGAGGUGAAGAGAGGAAGUCAACAACCAGACAUCACAUCGAGAUCCUUUAAACUGAUGCUUCUAGGAUGAUGCCCAAUUAUUUAAUCGAUAAAAUGAGAAGCAGUUGCCAAGCCCCUGGUGACAAACACUAUGUAUUUGUGCUAUAUGCUUUAAAAAGAAGUGAUUGAACGGGACUGGAGUUUUGUACCUUAAGCUCCAGUCCAACCAGUUCCUGUUCACUACUGAGACUCUUCUCCUUGCUGUUCCUUCCCUCUCCCUCUCUUUAUAGGGAGAAAAGCAGACCUGAAGGAGGGAGUGAUAAAACGUGCUAGCAGAUUCCAGCCUCUUUAUCGUAUCGCCAUUGUCUUGUCAUUUAAAUAAGGAGAAGGUCUUGGGUUUGAGCCCGUGAUAUCAGCAUGCCAUGUGCCCCCUCUCGUUCCCGCUCGUCCUAAGAGCAGCCAUGCCUUUCCAAACCUCGGCCCGGUUGUUCAGCGGCUCACGCCUCGGAACACCAUUUUCGAACCUGGCUAAUGUCUGUGCUCACUACCCUUCAAUUAUCUCCUGCACCGCAUUAGACAUGCUAUUUCACCUUUCCUUCUAAUCAAACUAUAAUCACCAGCCUCUAUACAUUAGCAGCAACCAAGUGAAAAAUCUCUGGGAUAAUCACUUGGACCAAAUGACGGGAGAGAUGGUCCCCUGCAUGCACAUGGAUGACAGAAGGAAGAUUAGAGAGAAUUAUGUUUGUGCCUACUCGCUGGCAAGGCUGCUGACAGCUGACCUGGCACCAAUAAUACUGCCAAAUUUACCCGAAGAAGCGAAGGAGGAUGUGGGAUAAAACUUUCUUAAUAUUGAGGGUAGAUUGACAUUGCCAAAAAUUAAAAAGAGAAAGAUGGAUGGUAAAAUGUAUAAAAAAUAUUUUUUGUUUUGUUUUUUACUUUACCUCGAACGUUUCAGCAAUAGUUGCUCAGAAUUGGGUCAAAACCAACAAUUUUACUGGAAAUCCUCAAUUUUGUAGAAGCAGCUGCUGUGAGGCCUAUGUUAUUGUGCUUCUUCUUUCAGCACAUAAUUGUGUCUCAACAGUCUCUACAGAGGGCGUUUUUUAUUCUUUUCUUUUUUUUUUUUUCUUUUUUUUUUUUUUUUACAAAAUAACUUGUUCCACAUUUCUUUCUUUUUCUUGCUUGUAUCCCUGCUGGGACACCUGCAAAGCACAGUAUUGUUCAACACUGAAAUAAUAUUUGUGAAGCACAGUAGUUCUUCAGAGUCAGAAUAAUGCCCGUCAAAAUGACAGCUUUUUAAAGACAGCUUCAAAUACAUGUAAGGUAAAAAAAGAAAAUAAUAAAAAAACCCAGCCCUCCUUCCUCAGCCCUCAAUCGGACGUUAGAUGCAGAAGCUUCAUGAAUUGAUGUGAAGCAGGUGAAGUACGCCAUGAUCUGCAGGCUGUUUGUGCUCAUUAUUCAUAUGACGCUGAACUACUCAAUGGCAGCAAAUCUAAUGUUCCAUGAGCAAUUAAAUUUCCCGGGCUUGUCUCGGCCAGCUUUAGAGUACGCUCUGCAAGUGAGGCUCCGUCAGGCUGAACAUGAACCUCGAAUGCCUCUACUGAUCUUCUCUGUCUCACACCAGAUGCUGUACUAGUUCCCACUGCUAAUGGCGGGUCGAGUCCCCAGUGAGCCAAAGUCCAGCCUAGCCUAGUAUCCUGCUGUCUCCUAAGCUAACAGUGCAGUGUUCGUGUAGCAUCUCUGAGAUGCCAGGGUUAAAUUAGGCAACAUGAAGUCAGCGUUUCAAAACUUUUAACAAGGGUGCUCUCAUUACUUUUAGAUCCCAGGGAGGAUGUUACUGAAGUGACGUGCAUAAAAAAGAAAAAAAGAAAAAAAGAAAUAACUCUGGAACAACCAAAACAAGAGAAAAAAAGUUUGUUGGUUUUAGAUUUUCUCAUUCCCUCCUUUAUUGACAUAAGUCUGUGCCUGCCGUGCUCCCAGCUCCGGUCCGGUCUGGUUUAUAGUCCAGGCAAUGUUUCACCUCUAAGAGCAAUGACAAAUGUCGACCCAGCAGGCACUCACCAAGCUGUUGCCAAACUGUUAUUUGAUAUUUGCCCUCAAAUUUACAAAGCAAAAGCAUAACUUGGCAUUUUACCCCAAGGAAAUUAGAAUCAAUGUAAUUAGUUAUGAGAAUAUGACUGAAAGUAUAGUGAGUUCUUUUUCAAUAAGCAGUCAGACCACUUGCUCCUCUGCCACUGAUGCAUGUACCCACUCUGACCUUGUAUCAUUAAAUGAAAAACCGGGUGGUGUAUACAUAGUAUACCCAUUUCCAUACUUGCCACUACACCACAGCUCACAAGGUCAGUCCUCGGGAGAAGCAUGUUUCCUUAAAGAGCCCCAGCCAAUGGCAGGGCCGAGCAGAGAACUGCUCGAGCAUGUCUACGAAUCUCCAACCCCCUGGGUGCAUAACACUCACCCUAAAAUAGCAGUGAUUGUCAAGGAAAGGAAGUGAAAUGUAAUUGACUGAAAGUGGAGAGAUAAUUAAAGGAACCUGUUGGACAGGAGGGAAGAAAUUAAUGCCUCUCAUUUAAUAGCUGCUUUGGGAGAGAGCUUUUCCGUCAUCUCACUUUAGCGCAGAAAGGGUUUUGCUGUGGAAAUGGGAUUUCGUAUGGAAAAAGUUGGAGGUGGAAAUAGGCACUGGGUGGUGGGGGGUGCUGUGUGCUAAACUGAAACUCCACAAAAUCGCUCCCAAUACUCAGGGCAUCAGGCGCUAUGAUGUCAUGAUUAGUGGAGAGGUUCAGAGCCUUUGCCUUACCCCUGAUCCUGAGGGAGGUCGAGCAGAAUCACAAAUGCGAUGUGAGUGGGAGCUGUAAGAUCGCAUCCCAUCCCGGGGAGUGCUGAGCCAGCAGAAGGGCUGAAGAACCACCUAACCCGUGCUUUGGAUUUACAGUAUCAUCAUCCAAUUCCAACAGUAAAAAAAAAAAAAAAAAAAAAAAGAAAAAGAUGCCAUCGUCCACCUAACAACGCACAGUGAAUUGCUGGAGGUGUGCAAUUAUGCUUAACAAAAUGGCUGAACGUAAUGAAGACAAAGACUUUUUUUAUUCCUUAAUGUAAAUAGCCUACAAAAUACAAAAACAGAGGAAGGUUGUAUAGCAGCUUGUGUUGAGAAGCCCAACUCUGUGGGACAAUGAUGUCACUAUAAAAUGUAUCCACAGCAGUGCAGGGAUCUAGGAGAGUUUUAGUCCUUUUAAGCCCCUUACGUUUGGGCUGUGAACAUGCAUCCUACAACCCUAAGCGUUGGACCACGGCUUAGAGAGUAUUUGACUUAGUGUCAAACCUAAGCCACAGCCCCGAAGUGAUCCGUUAAUUAAGAUUCUGUGUACACCGACAUGUCAUGAUUUUUCUGACAGAAGAAGGAUCGCCUGUGCGGUAAUUGGAUUAGUCCAAUUGAGGCUGAUGAACAGAUAUGACAGUGACAGUGGAGUUCAUCCAUCUGCAUGCUUACCGCUUGACAGUGCGGCAAAAAAAAAAAAAAAAAAAAAAAAAAAAGAAAAAAGAAAAA
This is an RNA transcript of Seriola aureovittata, 7733 nucleotides long. It is a transcript of the gene named CUGBP Elav-like family member 6, with no coding region annotated. The record is from RefSeq and is a predicted model, not a curated record. Lineage: Eukaryota; Metazoa; Chordata; Actinopteri; Carangiformes; Carangidae. The transcript is spliced from 14 exons.